RNAcentral lists this ribosomal RNA (482 nucleotides) under uncultured bacterium. RNAcentral describes it as "partial 16S ribosomal RNA". It matches the Rfam family "Bacterial small subunit ribosomal RNA", at positions 30 to 507 of the family's 1533-position model. The record is from RNAcentral.
AUUGAACGCUGGCGGCAUGCCUUACACAUGCAAGUCGAAUGGUAACAGGUCUUCGGAUGCUGACGAGUGGCGAGCGGGUGAGUAAUACAUCGGAACGUGCCCGAUCGUGGGGGAUAACGAAGCGAAAGCUUUGCUAAUACCGCAUACGAUCUACGGAUGAAAGCAGGGGACCGCAAGGCCUUGCGCGAACGGAGCGGCCGAUGGCAGAUUAGGUAGUUGGUGGGAUAAAAGCUUACCAAGCCGACGAUCUGUAGCUGGUCUGAGAGGACGACCAGCCACACUGGGACUGAGACACGGCCCAGACUCCUACGGGAGGCAGCAGUGGGGAAUUUUGGACAAUGGGCGAAAGCCUGAUCCAGUCAUGCCGCGUGCAGGAUGAAGGCCUUCGGGUUGUAAACUGCUUUUGUACGGAACGUAAAGACUCUGGUUAAUACCUGGGGUCCAUGACGGUACCGUAAGAAUAAGCACCGGCUAACUACGUG